RNAcentral lists this ribosomal RNA (504 nucleotides) under uncultured Ceratobasidium. RNAcentral's name for it is "bacterial SSU rRNA". It matches the Rfam family "Eukaryotic small subunit ribosomal RNA", at positions 569 to 1078 of the family's 1831-position model. Lineage: Eukaryota; Fungi; Basidiomycota; Agaricomycetes; Cantharellales; Ceratobasidiaceae. The record is from RNAcentral.
AGCAGCCGCGGUAAUUCCAGCUCCAAUAGCGUAUAUUAAAGUUGCUGCAGUUAAAAAGCCCGUAGUCGAACUUCAGGCCUGGCCGGGCGGUCUGCCUCACGGUACGUACUGUCCGGCUGGGUCUUACCUCUUGGUGAGCCGGCAUGCCCUUCACUGGGUGUGUCGGGGAACCAGGACUUUUACCUUGAGAAAAUUAGAGUGUUCAAAGCAGGCCUAUGCCCGAAUACAUUAGCAUGGAAUAAUAGAAUAGGACGGUGGUCCUGUUUUGUUGGUUUCUGAAUCACCGUAAUGAUUAAUAGGGAUAGUUGGGGGCAUUAGUAUUCAAUUGUCAGAGGUGAAAUUCUUGGAUUUAUUGAAGACUAACUACUGCGAAAGCAUUUGCCAAGGAUGUUUUCAUUAAUCAAGAACGAAAGUUAGGGGAUCGAAGACGAUCAGAUACCGUCGUAGUCUUAACCAUAAACUAUGCCGACUAGGGAUCGGACGAUGUUAACUUUUCUUGACUCG